This is a long non-coding RNA of Scomber japonicus (chub mackerel), 1385 nucleotides long. RefSeq lists it as uncharacterized. The record is from RefSeq and is a predicted model, not a curated record. NCBI's taxonomy places the organism in Eukaryota, Metazoa, Chordata, Actinopteri, Scombriformes, Scombridae. The transcript has 2 exons.
UGUGUUGUUUUUAUUUGGGGGGGGGGGGGUUAUUUUUAAUAUAAUAUUCAGGGUUCACCAUGCUGUCAACCUUUUGAGUCAUUACAGAGAGGACCAGUAUUUCUCAGAAGUGGAUGCAUUAUUUUUUUAAAUGAUACACAACCAACCAGAGCUGUGCUAGUUCACUGCAGUUCACUAAUUCUCUUUUUAAAGGAGUAAUUUGACAUUUUGGGAUAAUGCAUUUUUACUGUAUUAGAUUGAUAUCGUACUCAUGUCUGUACAGCUAAUACGAAACUACUGCUAGCAGCGUGUUAGCUUAGCUUAACCUAUUAACGUAUUAUAUCUAUAUCUGUUUAAUUUACACAAUGAUUAUUAAGUUUGACUGGAAACAAGGGAAAACGGCGUCAGUGGCUCUGUUUAGUUAACAAAAUCAGCUACUAGCACCUUUUAAACCUCACUAAUUAACAUAUUAUAUCUAUAUUAAUUUCAGUGUGUUAUUAGCUGAUUUUUGUUAGCUUAGCUUAGCACAAAGACUGGAAACAGGGUAAAAUGGCUUGCUUGACUCUAUUAAGUUAACAAAAUCAACUAUAAGGACCUCUAAAGCUAAUUAAUUAACAUAUUAUAUCUAUAUCUAGUUAAUUUACACAUCAUUAUUAAGAUUUAUGAGUGCUUUUAGCCAAUUUUUCUUAGCUUAGCUUAGCACAAAGACUGGAAACAGGGUGAAACGGCUUGCUUGGCUCUAUUAAGUUAACAAAAUCAACUACAAGCAUCUUUAAAGCUCAUUAUUUAACAUAUUAUGCAUAUAUCUAUUUAAUUUACACAUCAUUAUUAAGAUUUAUAAGUGCAAUUAGAGGUUAACUAACUGCUGUAGCUAGGUAUUUACUGUACAGGACAUGUGAGGUAUCAAUCUUCUAGCUCUCUGCAAAGUUUCCCAUGAUGUUAAAAUACUAAUUUAAAGUGAAAUUAUAUCCAGUGCAGCUCUGUUUUCUUAUAAAAAUCCUCAAACUCAUGCUCAUCGUUUUAUCUCAGCUGCACUUUCAUGAAAGUAGUCUUUAAAAUUAAACAUAAAUUUCCAUCCAUUCGCUCCGAGUUUUGUGCCUCAGAUUUAAAAUAAUGUUUGUUUUUGUGACUAUAUAUUUUACAUUUAGUAUUCCUGAUGAUGAUAAUUGUAAGGAGCCUUUUUUUUUAAGUGGAAAGAUGGAAAUUAAAAUAAAAGAAGAAAGUGCUGUGAUACUUUUUGAGAUGUUUCUUCAUCAAAGGGAAGAUGUGAGCGUGUUGAGAUGAGACGCUUUAUAACUCCGUGUGCCUUGUGUUUGCACUGACGAGGUGCGCGUGCCUUUUAAAUGUGAAUGUUUUUUGCACUGUGAUGAAAAUUAAUUAAGAAUAAAAUCAGAAGAAGCAUUUUA